GUCCCUGUAAGGCUAUGGCUAGAGCGUUGGACUUCUAAUCCAAAGGUCGUGGGUUCGAAUCCCACCUGGGACG
This is a non-coding RNA of Trichonephila clavipes, 73 nucleotides long. NCBI's taxonomy places the organism in Eukaryota, Metazoa, Arthropoda, Arachnida, Araneae, Nephilidae. The record is from the annotation of a GenBank genome assembly.